ACUCCUACGGGAGGCAGCAGUGGGGAAUAUUGGACAAUGGGGGCAACCCUGAUCCAGCAAUGCCGCGUGUGUGAAGAAGGCCUGCGGGUUGUAAAGCACUUUCAGUAGAGAAGAAAAGCCUAGGGUUAAUACCCCUGAGUCUUGACGUUACCUACAGAAGAAGCUCCGGCUAACUCCGUGCCAGCAGCCGCGGUAAUACGGAGGGAGCGAGCGUUAAUCGGAAUUACUGGGCGUAAAGCGCACGUAGGCGGCUUGUUAAGCCAGAUGUGAAAGCCCCGGGCUCAACCUGGGAACUGCAUUUGGAACUGGCAGGCUAGAGUUUUGUAGAGGGUGGUAGAAUUUCAGGUGUAGCGGUGAAAUGCGUAGAGAUCUGAAGGAAUACCGGUGGCGAAGGCGACCACCUGGCCAAUAACUGACACUGAGACGCGAAGGCGUGGGUAGCAAACGGGAUUAGAUACCCUGGUAGACUCUG
Molecule: ribosomal RNA, 472 nt
Filed under: uncultured bacterium
Lineage: Bacteria
Description: bacterial SSU rRNA
Rfam family: Bacterial small subunit ribosomal RNA
Source: RNAcentral